AUCCUGCAGGCACCAUGAAGACGCUCUGGACCCUUCUGUGCCUGAUGACUGCUCCUCUGGGUGUCCUGUCUGAUCUGACACUUCAGGAUUCAGGACCUGGCCUGGUGAAGCCUGGACAGACCCUGUCCCUCACCUGCACUGUCACCGGGGGCUCUGUCACUACUAGUUACUACUGGCAUUGGAUCCGCCAGCCCCCUGGGAAAGCUCUACAGUGGAUGGGGAGCUUCUUGUUAAGGAGCACAAACUACAACCCAGCCUUUGAGGACCGCAUCUCCAUCACUGCUGACACAGCCAAGAACCAGUUCUCCCUGCAGCUGAACUCCGUGACCCCCGAGGACACAGCCAUGUAUUACUGUGCAGGACUUGGCUCACAAUGCCCAAGAGCUCAGCGCCAGCUUGUGGAGAGGGCUUCCCAGUGCAUCACGCACAGUGGAGGGCAGCACGUGGAGAGACCGCAAGUGGCCAGGAAAACGGAGUCACUCUUUAACAGAGCCACACUCCAAUGA
This is a non-coding RNA of Fukomys damarensis (Damara mole-rat), 506 nucleotides long. NCBI's taxonomy places the organism in Eukaryota, Metazoa, Chordata, Mammalia, Rodentia, Bathyergidae. The record is from the annotation of a RefSeq genome assembly.